RNAcentral lists this long non-coding RNA (1567 nucleotides) under Triticum aestivum (bread wheat). RNAcentral describes it as "long non-coding RNA (TAES_LNC021960)". Lineage: Eukaryota; Viridiplantae; Streptophyta; Magnoliopsida; Poales; Poaceae. The record is from RNAcentral.
UUAUUGAUUAGGUAUGGAAAGCCACGUGGCCUUAUGUUAGGUUUAGUAUUUUCGAAUCAAACCCACGAUCGAUUUAUAUGAAAGGGCAGGAUGAUUUUCUUAGCAUGGCGACAGCACCGAUGUGUUUUAUAUUUUGACAAGGAUAUUGCCGCAAGGGCCGGGGGCGAUUUUGUCGUCCCGUACGGAGGAUACAUGGCGGGGGUGGAAGCAUCGGAGUAGAGGCUAUCUUGUGGCCUCCCACACUGCUGGUCGUUGCCCGCGAAGACCGUCGCCCUCUGCGCCACGAGCGGCUCCACCACAGGGAUCCUUGCUCAUAAACGUGUUUGCUAGCUCCAUCUUGUACUCCUUCCUGUAAUAUAUCAACAUGCACAGCUAAGUUGGUUCACUUCUACACACACACAGAGAGAAAGCUCCUGGACAAAUCGAUAUGCUACAUACAUGUGCACAGUUUCGGGACAAAUCGGUAUGCACAACCAAGCUGGUUUGCUAAGUUAUACUCCCUCCGUCCCAAAAUAAGUGUCUCAACUUUAUACUAAUUUAGUACAAAGUUGUACUAAGCUUGAGACACUUAUUUUGAAACGGAGGGAGUAUUAUAGGAAAACCUAUGUCAGGAUGAGCUUUGCAUAUCAACACAAACGUGUAUACCCAAGCCUCUAUUGCAGGCAAAGUUUUUGCCCCAAGAUUCACCCACUUGUAUGAAAGUGAUCCAUGGUGAAUUGUGUACAUGACACGUGCUAUUAUUUUGGUAAAUGGCCGUGUAGAAACGCCUUGUGGAUUCGGUUUUUUGUUUCAAAUUUUUUAAACUGGUGUGAUGGUUCGUUUGGUUGCUUUAGCAUUUUUGAUUGGAUGUGGGGUAGGCUGCGUGGUUGUUCUUCUUAUGUGCUUCUUUUGCGUUGAUCGGUUUAUGUUUCAACCGCUGCUGGCCCAAUCGAUGCGUCGCUUUCGAUUCAGCUGCUGGCCCAAUCGAUGCGUCGCUUUCGGUUCAUGCCGAUUCAGUUUUAGUCGGGUUUAUUUUGCUGUGCCAUGUUAUCACGCAACAUAUAUUUCCCCCACGAAAAGUUGAGAAAAGAAUUCAGUAUAUGCCAGAGAAUACACGACCAAGAAGAAGGAUACAAGUUUGCAGCAGAGCAGGUUCACAACGAAGCAUGCUGAAAUCCAGAUACACAUUGUCUGAAUAAAUAACGUAACUGAAACGAGCGUGCAGGGAAAAGAAAGCAAGAAAAAAAAGGGGAGAAGGGAGUUAACACCACGGUCAAAUCCCUCAACGGUGGCGCGCUCACCGCAGAGGGAGGACGCGCGACCGGCGAGGAGGAUGGCCACGGCGCAGAGUUGCCGCGCUCCUCUUCCUCCCUCUCACGCAGAAAAGAAAAAGGGGGACACGACGAGCGCCUCUCUGUCUCUCUCUCGCGCGCGCGGAAACAGAGAUGGGAGGGGAAGGGGCUGCCUCACCAGUGCCGCCCUGGCUCGCUGCGCCGGCGGUGGCUCGCGCACCGGAACCGAGCAGGCGGGCGAGAGAGGAACGGACGAGCGAGAGAGGUGCUGGGGCGGAAUGGCGUUAGGGUUUCUG